Podarcis lilfordi (Lilford's wall lizard) is the source of this 203-nucleotide non-coding RNA. The record is from the annotation of a GenBank genome assembly. Lineage: Eukaryota; Metazoa; Chordata; Lepidosauria; Squamata; Lacertidae.
GGGGGCAUAGCUCAGUGGAAGAGCAUCUGCUUUGCAUGUGCAGCUUCUCUCAACGUUGGGUCCCCAGCUGUCGUUGGGACUACAACUCCCAUCAUCCCUGACCACUGGCCCUGCUAGCUAGGGAUGAUGGGAGUUGCGGUCCAACAACCCAAUGUUGAGAAACACUGAUGUAGAAGGUUCCAGGUUCAAUCCCAGCAACCCCA